GCUCAAAUAGUCUCAAAAGCAACAAGAAAGCCAAGUUUUUCUGAAUAGUUCUGAAAGUCUUGAUUAACCUAACAGAAAGAUUUCCAAUGGACUGAACCUUAAAAUGAAACAACAAACAUGAGCAGAUCAUCACGUGGAGGUGAAGGUGGAGGAAGGCUCAGAGUCUGUCACCCUGCACUGCAAAACAACACCUGACCUGCCUGAGAACACCAGAGUGGAGUGGACUCGCUCUGACCAUGAACUCUUGAUAGUUCAGGAGUAUUCAAACAAAGGUGGCAAACUUAUGAAACAGGACAAGUUUUACAGAGACCGAACAGAAAUGAAUGAAGACCUGCUGAAAACUUCAGCCUGACCCUGAAACAGCCCACAGAGAGAGACACAGGAGGAUACAUCUGCACCAUCUACAGGGACAAAGACAUCCUGAGACAGAAAGUAGUGCUGCACUAUGUCAGAGGUCAGAGCUGGUGGACAGUGGC
RNAcentral lists this long non-coding RNA (476 nucleotides) under Oreochromis niloticus (Nile tilapia). RNAcentral describes it as "lncRNA (ENSONIG00000029262.1)". Lineage: Eukaryota; Metazoa; Chordata; Actinopteri; Cichliformes; Cichlidae. The record is from RNAcentral.